Molecule: ribosomal RNA, 253 nt
Filed under: uncultured bacterium
Lineage: Bacteria
Description: partial 16S ribosomal RNA
Rfam family: Bacterial small subunit ribosomal RNA
Source: RNAcentral
UACGUAAGGGGCAAGCGUUGUCCGGAUUUAUUGGGCGUAAAGAGCGUGUAGGCGGCCAGACAGGUCCGUUGUGAAAACUCGAGGCUCAACCUCGAGAUGUCGAUGGAAACCGUCUGGCUAGAGUCCGGAAGAGGAGUGUGGAAUUCCUGGUGUAGCGGUGAAAUGCGCAGAUAUCAGGAAGAACACCUAUGGCGAAGGCAGCACUCUGGGACGGUACUGACGCUGAGACGCGAAAGCGUGGGGAGCGAACAGG